CAUUACCACGGGAAUCCCAUUAAUUCCCAAAGCAGUGGUUUCUAAAUGAAUUGGCCUUGUCCUGGGACGAUCAUGUUUCUUCCUUUUUGGUACUUCGUACCACAAUUCCUGCUGGGAUGACUGGGAAUUAGCAGCCGCCUGUGGGUCACCCAUGCACGAAGUCAGUUCUUGUCUGGAUUUGAAGUAGCAGGCUCCGGGGUCUAUUAUAGGCUAUAAAGACCCUUGAUAGCCAGAGGGUAAGGGAUAGGGUAACUGUAACGAUAUUACCUUGCAACCUCGGCUCUUUAGUGAAUGGUUUAAUUGCAUUGCUUUGAUUUCUAAGUGGAAAAACCGUAUCGUAAGGUGAUUCCCAUCUUCUCCUUCGUGAAUGAUGUUCUAAACUCCCUCAUCUUUCUGGAGUCUAGAGCACACUUUUUAUACAAACCGUGUUAGCAGGUUGAUUGUUGCCCAGCGAAGCCCCGGAAGGAUGAGCUGCAUGUGGUCCGUCCCUGGCUCUGCCUCUGCCUGUACCUGGGCUGAGCGGGCCGCCUCUCCAAGCGCAUGCGCUUCCUCAUCUAUACAAUGGCGCAUGGUCAUUGUUCCUGAGAAAAACAACGGGAGUGAUGAAAGAGGAUAGUCAUUUCCUAAGCCACAAGUUUGGUGGUUUCAAACAAUCUAAUCUAUUCUUUCCCAGUUCUGGGGCCUGGUGUCCAAAGUCAGCACCACUGGUCCCAGAUCGAGGUGUUGCCCAGGGCCGGGCUCUCAAGGCUCGGGGGAAAAGCCGUUCUUUGCUCCUCCUAGCCGAAGAGAGAAAAAUCGUUAACGGCUCUCCAGCUUAGUUUUCCUCUGGGGCCUUACAGGGAGACCACCAGAACACAGAUAAAUAGGAGAGAAGCCAGUCCGUUUAAUUUACACAUGUGCAUAGUCGUCCUCAUGAGACCAGUGAAGACCCAAAGAAAACUGAAAGCUUACACAAUCUCGCGUUGCUUUAUGAAGAGAUGCACAUUCCCGUGUUAGUUUGUUUCUGGUGCUGGAGAUUAAAGCAGCGAGUUACACCCAGAGGAGACGCAUCUGAGAAAUGCACCUCCAGAGCGCAUUUCCUGGAGGUUCUGCUUCUCAGCCACAGAUGGAAAAGAUGGAAUAUCUCUUCCUAGCUCCUAACCUAGCUGUCUCAGUCCAUUCAGGCCACUGUAAUAAAGUACCAGAAACCAGGUUGCUAGUUGAUGGCUGCAUUCCAGAUGUUAACACUGUCAGAAGCUUGACUUCCAUGUGGAAUCUGGACCAGCUUUAAGCAAAUAGUAACUGUCCUCUUGGUGUCAUUAUCAUCAUGAUCUUGUUCAACGCCUCCGUUUGAAAGAUGAAGAAACUAAGGCCCCAAGGACAGCAAUUAACCCAAGCCACGAUUGUGUGUGUGUUUCUGGAGCGUUUUCUCACACUUCUGCUCUCUGGGAAGGUUGCUGCUGUGAUAAGCAGAGCUCUCUACCUCCCUCAUCAAGCUCUCUGCUGGAGCCUGGUCAGAAAGGACCACUGUCCUGGGCCACUAUUGAGGGUAUUAUGACAAGUACUGGAGAAGGCUUAUGAUCGCCCAGUGGAUGAGACAUGUAUCCGUGCAUACAUGGAUCUGUGCAUACAUGAAGACAGGACUGUAAGGCAGAAGGAGAAGUAUGCAAAACUUAGAAGAGAAAUGCCUGUUGUGUUAGGAUCUGCAGAGGAGAUCUUUUCUCCUGAUCACUGCCAUAAAUAUUUGAAGAUGAGAUCGGGGGGGUCCUCAAAUUAUUGUCUGCGGACCAAAUCCUGCAGGCUUUCUGGUUUUGUGCAAUCAUUGAAAUACAAAUACUUUUUAUAUUUUUAAAUGGCUGAGAAUUAAAAAAACCCCACAAGGGCAAUAUAGUCAUGUGCCACAAACCAUGUUUCAGUCAGUAAUGGGUCAUACAUUGUUCAGUGGCCCCAUAUAAGAUUUCGUUGUCUGCGAUGUUGUAGCUGGUUUAGUUUGUAUACAUACAUUCUAUGAUGUUUGUACAACGAUGAAGUAGCCUAACGAUGAGUUUCUCAAAAUGUAUCCCCCUCAUUAAGUGAUACACAGCUGUAAUAAUUUGUGCCCUGUGAAAAUAAUAUGAAUUUCAAAUUUCAGUGUUCACAAUAAAGUUUUAUUGGAACAAAGCCAUACUUGCUCAUAUUGCCUGUGGUUGCUUUUACAUUCCAAUAACAGAAGCGAAUCAUCACGACAGAGAGAGUAUGGCCUUCAAAGCCUAAAAUAUUUAUUACCUGACCCUUUAUAGAAAGAGUUUGCCCAUGCUGGACUUUGAGUUAUCCAACACUUACAGUAUCGUUGUCCUGUCUGAUGUCCUUUUUCCUCUAUCACCACAUACCCACUAUUCCCUUCUCAUUCCAUCCAUCCAUCCAUCCAUCCAUCCACCCAUCCUUGGUUCCUGGCCAUCCUGGCAUCAGCAGUUCUUGGAUUUGUUUGUGGGAUGGUUAGUAAUGAUUGCUGUAGGUAGAGCUGCGCUCUCCUCUGCAUCCAAGCCUGGUGCCUCAGGGUUUCCUCAGUGCAACUGUCCCUUGCUCAAACACACCCCGACACCCACUUCAGUUGCUGAUUGCAUGUCAUCCAUUGGCUCCCAGCAGAGGCCUUUGAAGGACUUCUCCUUGCUCACAAUUUUAGCUUGUGAAAUGGAGUCCCAUUCAUUAAACUGUAAGACACCACUUGACAAGGGAUUUUAUUUUUAAAUGGCCCCUUGCUUAGCAAAUUUAUUCCUCCUGAGCUACUUUCAUUUUUGGUAAUCUAUAGAAAAGUAAAACAAUGCAGUAAAAUAAUGCAUUAAUGGAAUCUGUAAUCUUUCUCUAGGCACUGGGAACACUGCAAAGCUUGCCAU
RNAcentral lists this long non-coding RNA (2852 nucleotides) under Heterocephalus glaber (naked mole-rat). RNAcentral's name for it is "lncRNA (ENSHGLG00100039290.1)". Lineage: Eukaryota; Metazoa; Chordata; Mammalia; Rodentia; Bathyergidae. The record is from RNAcentral.